AACGAACGCUGGCGGCAUGCCUAACACAUGCAAGUCGAACGAGACCUUCGGGUCUAGUGGCGCACGGGUGCGUAACGCGUGGGAACCUGCCCUUAGGUUCGGAAUAACUCCCCGAAAGGGGUGCUAAUACCGGAUAAUGUCUUCGGACCAAAGAUUUAUCGCCUUUGGAUGGGCCCGCGUUGGAUUAGCUAGUUGGUAGGGUAAAAGCCUACCAAGGCGACGAUCCAUAGCUGGUCUGAGAGGAUGAUCAGCCACACUGGGACUGAGACACGGCCCAGACUCCUACGGAAGGCAGCAGUGGGGAAUAUUGGACAAGGGGCGAAAGCCUGAUCCAGCAAUGCCGCGUGAGUGAUGAAGGCCUUAGGGUUGUAAAGCUCUUUUACCCGGGAUGAUAAUGACAGUACCGGGAGAAUAAGCACCGGCUAACUCCGUG
RNAcentral lists this ribosomal RNA (433 nucleotides) under uncultured bacterium. Its description in RNAcentral is "partial 16S ribosomal RNA". It matches the Rfam family "Bacterial small subunit ribosomal RNA", at positions 29 to 507 of the family's 1533-position model. The record is from RNAcentral.